AAGAGCUACCCGAGUGCAAAGGGGAUAAGAAGACCAAGGAUUUUUCCGCUGGAUGUUGACUAUUAGAUAUUGGAAAUGGUGGGAAGAGAUUAUCUUCUUCCCCGGACGACGGGAUGCAGCGCAUGGGUGAAGGGAGCGCUUGAUUGUGCGGGCGGAAAGAUGCAGAGAGACGGUCGUCGCCUAGACUGUGAAUGCUGUAGCCACUGAAGUGCAUUUUCAAUUACUAAAUUAUACACCCGUGAUCAAAAGAAGGAAAGUGGUAUGUAUAUUUUAAAAGCAAGUUUGCAAGUAGGCUACACGUUUGCUUGGGUUUGACCACGAGCUGCAUAAUAGAGAUCGGUCGGAUGGUAAAAGAAGCAACAUUCCACGAAAGCGGCUAAAAUGCUACGGAUCCGAGGGGAUGUAUUUGUGUUUCGCCGUCGAGCAAGAAACUAAACAGGGAAAAGUCUUGAAGAAAAGUUAAUCUGCUCCCUUGGCAGCUGUUAGCUUUUUGGAGUCUGGAAGCGUCACCUUUGACAUGUCUCCUAUUCAGAGGAAGAGGCUCCAAGCACUGACCACGGCAAGCUGUCAUCGGAGAGGGGAGAGAGGACGCCUUCUUCACAGCACAAACUGUCCUUUCAACGUCAUCAAAAGUUACCAAAUUUGCUUGAUGCUCGGACAAUAGACCCGAGGAUGACUGCUGGAGGUCAAAUCUCGCUGUGAUACUGACGUGUGUCUACUUGAAAAGAAACAUCAUGAUAUUGUAAUUGAAUGCUUUUAAACUAAAAUGUAACUUGUUGCAAAGACCAUUAAGGCAUUGUGUAAUAUCAAAUUGAAUAUUUUGUAGAAAGGGAAAAAUUGGCAUGAAUGUACAAAGUCCAACAAUCCUGAAAUAAGUUGUUACAUAGGUCUGAGAUCUGAGUAACAUUUCGUGUCAAUACUUGCUUAAGACAUAUCUGUACUGUUGUUGUUUGUUUUUUUGUUUCUUUCAUUAGCCUACAUUGCAUUUGUUGACAGUUGAUAUGAUCUUUCUGUGAAACUGUUAUGCUGUUUACUAUCUGCGUCAAUUUGGACGCAAUAAAAACAAAUACAAUUGCUGUAUAUGAUGUUUAUCACUGUUUUAAAAUGGAUCCAAAUUA
Long non-coding RNA from Conger conger (European conger), 1118 nucleotides. RefSeq lists it as uncharacterized. The record is from RefSeq and is a predicted model, not a curated record. Lineage: Eukaryota; Metazoa; Chordata; Actinopteri; Anguilliformes; Congridae. The transcript has 2 exons.